GUUCCGUAGGUGAACCUGCGGAAGGAUCAUUAUUGUAUCCGCGAGGUGCGAGGGCUGUCGCUGACCCGCGAGGUCGUGCACGCCCGAGUUCCCUCACACCCAUCCAUCUCACCCCUAUGUGCACCACCGCGUGGGUCCCCCUUUGGCUUGUUCGGAGGGGGGCUUACGUUUUCACACAAACGUUGUAUGAAGUGUAGAAUGUAUUUUUUGUUUUUGCGAUCACGCAAUCAAUACAACUUUCAACAACGGAUCUCUUGGCUCUC
RNAcentral lists this unclassified non-coding RNA (263 nucleotides) under plant metagenome. RNAcentral's name for it is "partial contains small subunit ribosomal RNA, internal transcribed spacer 1, and 5.8S ribosomal RNA". The record is from RNAcentral.